This is a non-coding RNA of Ornithorhynchus anatinus (platypus), 72 nucleotides long. The record is from Rfam. NCBI's taxonomy places the organism in Eukaryota, Metazoa, Chordata, Mammalia, Monotremata, Ornithorhynchidae.
AGCAGUGUGGCUCAGUGGAAAGAGCAUGGGCUUUGGAGGCAGAGGUCAUGGGUUCGAAUCCCGGCUCUGCCA